ACAAUUUUUUAAUAUUAAUAAUACAAAAAAAAACACUAUAUUAGAAAAUACUCACAGCAGAAGCCAAUGUAGGAUAGGUGUGGGUAGGCUAAAUCGUUGUAUCAGGUAAAGGCAAAAAAACUUAAGGUCAUUCACGUGAUUAGAAUUCGUAUUUUGUACAGUUUAUUAUUAUUAUUUUAACUUGUCAUUGCCUUUUUUAACUGCUACUUACAGUUUUUGAACAUUUAAGCAAGUUUUUUAUCGCGCCCAAUAAAAACUUAAGGAAAAACUUGAAAACAUUACAAAAUGUUGGUUUGCGCAUGCGCAGUUCUGUAAAGAGGCUCGUAUCGAUGGGAAGCAUAACUCGACGGAACACCGGAAAAAUCGUCCACAUCCCCCGCUGUCUCGCAGCCCACGUUCGCCUUAUUUGACCCAGCGUCUGGCAGCAGUGUCCUCUUCCCUAAUCCACUGCAGUGCAAGAGCUGUUGUUUGUGCAGACAAUCAUCAUGGAUCAUGGGCAUCCUCCCUCCUCCAGCCCAGGUCUUGCAGCUGUACCAGGUAGAGUCGGUCUUUGUGUCUGUCAGAGCUACCACCGGGCACUGCCUCCUCGCUCAGCUGGAGCUGUGUCAGUAGGGGCGUGUUUUCCAGAAUCCGUCUGCGCUGCAGCAGGGCUGGGUUCACCGGGUUCGUGUGCGCUCACAGCGGCGGGUUGAGGCGGGGGAAAAAUGUGACCUCGUUUGACUGGAGUUGGAGGCGCUCCAAGCUGCAGUCGGGGAAGUGGAAUAGAAGGGAUUUGAGCAGGUGCCUCGCUAUUGUGCCCGUGUGUGUGCUCGCCUCAGAAACCAAUGCUUUCUCUGAGUCGGUACCCAUUCAUCCGAGGACACUCAGUACCGUUAUGUCGCGGAGAGUCAGGAAAAUAGAACAUGGAAAAAAAGUAAUUGCUGCAAGAACAGAAUGGAACUGCCAUGCAAAUGCUGUGGAUAAAAGAGGUCCACCAUAUUUUCUACUUAGGUUCCGGCUUCUGAAUCAAACUAGCAGGAGCCAUGGAGGAUCCCCUGAGGUGAGUUCCAGCAUUGUCUGCUACAACAAAGUGCAUGAAACACAGCUGAAAUGGGCAUUAGGCUGGAGUAUGCUCUGUAAGUGCCAUUGACCCGUUCUUUAUAGAGCUGCCGUCAUCGAUUAUCAUCAUCAGAGCUGGAGUAUGCACCCAUUGACUCAUUCCUUCUAAGGUUGCCACUAUCGAUCGUGUCGGUAUUCCUAUACGCGAUGUAUAUUGCUUGGAUCUUGGUUUCCUGCUGUGAAAGCUGCUUUCACACUAUCAUGGCAAAUGCACGGAUUGUUUGUUUUUUGUACAGCGGUGGGAAUAAACUACUCUACUGCUCAAGGCA
Molecule: long non-coding RNA, 1367 nt
Filed under: Astyanax mexicanus (Mexican tetra)
Lineage: Eukaryota; Metazoa; Chordata; Actinopteri; Characiformes; Acestrorhamphidae
Description: lncRNA (ENSAMXG00005013887.1)
Source: RNAcentral